This 457-nucleotide small RNA is filed under the name Pongo abelii (Sumatran orangutan). RNAcentral describes it as "processed transcript". The record is from RNAcentral. Lineage: Eukaryota; Metazoa; Chordata; Mammalia; Primates; Hominidae.
GGAUACGUCGCCAUCUUGGAUCCGCGGGACAAGAAAAUUCAUGCGAGGGAGACGUGGUGGGCGGUCCUUCCUGUGACACGACCCUUGAGUGACAGUUCUAUUUGAUUGCCUCCGGUACUGUGAGGAAAGGACACGACUCUAUGGUGAGGACUGAUGGACAUACAUUAUCUGAGAAAAGAAACUACCAGGUGACAAACAGCAUGUUUGGUGCUUCAAGAAAGAAGUUUGUAGAGGGGGUCGACAGUGACUACCAUGAUGAAAACAUGUACUACAGCCAGUCUUCUAUGUUUCCACAUCGGUCAGAAAAAGAUUAUGUCUGGAUUUGGAAUGAACAGGAAUCAGGCAUUUGGAAUGAAUAACUCCUUAUCAAGUAACAUUUUUAAUGGAACAGAUGGAAGUGAAAAUGUGACAGGAUUGGACCUUUCAGAUUUCCCAGCAUUAGCAGACCGAAACAGAA